GAUGAACGCUGGCGGCGUGCUUAACACAUGCAAGUCGAACGGAAAGGCCCAAGCUUGCUUGGGUACUCGAGUGGCGAACGGGUGAGUAACACGUGGGUGAUCUGCCCUGCACUUCGGGAUAAGCCUGGGAAACUGGGUCUAAUACCGGAUAGGACGAUGGUUUGGAUGCCAUUGUGGAAAGUUUUUUCGGUGUGGGAUGAGCUCGCGGCCUAUCAGCUUGUUGGUGGGGUAAUGGCCUACCAAGGCGUCGACGGGUAGCCGGCCUGAGAGGGUGUACGGCCACAUUGGGACUGAGAUACGGCCCAGACUCCUACGGGGGGCAGCAGUGGGGAAUAUUGCACAAUGGGCGCAAGCCUGAUGCAGCGACGCCGCGUGGGGGAUGACGGCCUUCGGGUUGUAAACUCCUUUCGCUAGGGACGAAGCGUUUUUGUGACGGUACCUGGAGAAGAAGCACCGGCUAACUACGUG
RNAcentral lists this ribosomal RNA (468 nucleotides) under uncultured bacterium. RNAcentral describes it as "partial 16S ribosomal RNA". It matches the Rfam family "Bacterial small subunit ribosomal RNA", at positions 28 to 507 of the family's 1533-position model. The record is from RNAcentral.